RNAcentral lists this transfer RNA (75 nucleotides) under Omphalotus olearius VT 653.13. Its description in RNAcentral is "tRNA-Asn (GTT) (tRNA-Asn-GTT-2-1)". It matches the Rfam family "tRNA". Rfam says of the family: Transfer RNA (tRNA) molecules are approximately 80 nucleotides in length. Their secondary structure includes four short double-helical elements and three loops (D, anti-codon, and T loops). Lineage: Eukaryota; Fungi; Basidiomycota; Agaricomycetes; Agaricales; Omphalotaceae. The record is from RNAcentral.
UGGCCCCAUGGCUGAGUUGGUCACAGCGUCCGACUGUUAAUCGGAAGGGCGAGAGUUGGAGCCUCUCUGGGACAG